Non-coding RNA from Picea glauca (white spruce), 121 nucleotides. The record is from Rfam. Lineage: Eukaryota; Viridiplantae; Streptophyta; Pinopsida; Pinales; Pinaceae.
ACAUGCCUACAACAUAGCAUUAAUGCAUCAUAUUACAAUAGAAAUUCGUAGUUAAGUGCACUCAGGCUAGAGUAGUACUAGGAUGGGUGAUCACCUAGGAAAUCCUAGUGUUUUACAUGAU